Hirundo rustica (Barn swallow) is the source of this 2756-nucleotide RNA transcript. It is a transcript of the gene named rogdi atypical leucine zipper, with no coding region annotated. NCBI's taxonomy places the organism in Eukaryota, Metazoa, Chordata, Aves, Passeriformes, Hirundinidae. The record is from RefSeq and is a predicted model, not a curated record. The transcript has 12 exons.
GGGGGCGGGGACGGCGGGGUCGGGAUGGCGGCGGCUAUGGCGAACCAGGGCGAGCGGGCGGUGCUGGAAGAAGAAUUUAAAUGGCUUUUACAAGAAGAGGUCCAUGCUGUUUUGAGACAGCUGCAGGAUAUUUUGAAGGAGGCCUCCCACCGCUUUGCCAUGCCCACUGGUGGCUCUGGAGGAGCUUUCAAGCAGGAGAACUUUGUACUGAGCACAUCAAGCACAGACCAGGUGAAAGGUGUGAUGACGCUGCAGGGAGAUGCACUGUGUCAAGCUGAUGUUAAUCUGAAAAUGCCCAGAAACAAUCAGCUCCUGCAUUUUGCAUUCCGGGAAGACAAGCAGUGGAAAUUGCAGCAGAUCCAGGAUGCUAGAAACCAUGUGAACCAAGCCAUUUAUCUGCUUACGAACAGAGAUGUGAACUACCAGUUCAAAACAGGCUUGGAGGUUCUCAAGCUUAUGGAUGCUGUGAUGUUGCAGCUCUCCAGAGCCCGAAAUCGGCUAACCACUCCUGCCACUCUGACACUACCAGAAAUUGCCUCCAGUGGUCUCACAAAAAUGUUCACUCCUGCGCUGCCUCCAGACAUCCUUGUGAAUUUCUAUAUUAACCUGAACAAGCUGUGCCUCACUGUCUACCAGCUCCAUGUGCUGCAGCCCAGCACAACCAAGAAUUUCAAGCCUGCUGGGGGGUCUGUUUUGCACAACCCUGGAGCCACAUUUGAAUUUGGCAGCCAGCGAUAUGAAGUCAGCCAUGUCCAUAAAGUGGAAUGUGUUGUCCCGUGGUUAAAUGAUGCCCUUGUCUUCUUCACAGUUUCACUGCAGCUUUGCCAGCAACUGAAGGACAAGAUCUCCGUUUUCUCCAGUUACUGGAACUACAGGCCAUAUUAAUUCUCUGUGGAAUGAUCUAAGCCUUUACAGUACUUCCAGUGUCUCUCUCUGUUCUCUCAUGCCAGCUGAAUCCGGGUCAGCCUGAGGAGUGCUGGGGUUCACUGCCAGAUGCCCUCCACAGGGCAGGCUCAGUGUACCCAGAGACACCGCUUUUGUAGCCUUGUCUGGGAUUCUUGCAUAAGCAGGGCACCAAGUAGUGCUGGGUGGUUGACAGGAACUUCCAUUGGUCCCUCUUGUGCAUUGUGUGGCUCACGCUUCCCAAACCCCUGAUGGAGUUACACAGGUCUGUUAAAACGGAUAGGUGCUCUGGACCACCCUCGCUGACUAGCUAUGUGCAUUGUGCUGUAAAUAACUCCUUGACUGUGAAGUGGCUAGAAAGGGGGUAAAACAGACUAACUUAACACAUCUCUUAAAAAGUAGGGCAUGUUGCUCCAUAUAGUGAAAUAUGUUUCUCUUAUCUGGUCCAGCUCUGCUUAUAACUAACCCUGAGUGACUCCCUCCCCUGCCUGUUCUGCCCAUCCCCAUGUUACUGAUUUCCACUUUGGGGAAUGCUCUUACUUGCUGCUGUUUGAAUUCUUUCCCCUCUCAUCCAGCAUCAAUGUGAUAUUAAUUUUUCCCUAAGCCCUAGUUGGGCCAAUUGGUCUUUUCCAGGUUUAGUGUCUUGUAUUCACUGCCAGCCUUUGGAGUUGCCUUGUGCAGUCUUUCAUCUUGUCAUUAAACGCGAACAUCGGAGAGGCGUGGUCAGGCGGCUGUUUUACUGCGUUUGGAGUCCACUGAUAAUGGAGGGUCCGAUCCUGGGAAUUCUACCACCAUCCAUCAUCUGCUGGAGCACCCAGGAAUUUGGAGCCCUUUCACCUGCCCUGCUAGAGCUGGGCCAGCCCUGUCCAGCCAUCGUGGCUUCGUCAGCACUGCUCACUUUGCCAGGGCACGCCCCGCCUUUGCCUGCCAGGACACCCCCCUGCCUGCUGGGGACCCUCACCAUUCCAUCCCCCAGCCUGGGAGUUUUCUACCGUGCCAGCUUGGUGCUCUCAGGGUCCCAAGAGAUCAGACUGCCCCACAGAGCCCCUCGCGGUUCCUGGUGUGGUAUAUGUCCUAAAGUUAAUUUGUGUUAAAGGAUAUAAAAUGUAAUGCAAUCUCUAUAAGUUUUGUUUUAAUCCCGUAUGCUAAGAGUUAACUCAGGGGAAAGUAGCUCGGAAAAGGUACAGGAAUUUCUCUUGCGUGAAAAGACAUGGGAGGGACACGAGAUAAAAAUGAUUGGAAUUACCAGAAAGGGAGACCCAAAAAUGCCUCUGCCGGGAAGUGUUAGAAAAAGAACAAUGACAACGGAAAAGGAGAUGAGAGCCUGGAGAACCGGAUGAUUACAUCAGAUGGAUAUCUAGACCGUCUCCUCCUGAAAUUAACAUCUCCACACCACACCUGGACCCAACCAUUAACGGCAUUGUCCUUUCCCGCUGCCCUAUUCAGACUCUUAGAACUGGAACAUAAAUGUUUAAUGAAGAUGCCUCGGAGGAAGGACCCUCGAAAUCCCGAGUUUCUCUCAGCGAUCCAGUGUAUAAAAAGAGGCUGCUGCAAGGGAGAAAUGUGAACUUGGGGGAUAACAGACUGGCAGAGUGUGUUAUCAUUGUUCACCCAGCGCCGACCCCGGGCUCGACGCUGUCCUUUUAAUUGUGGCUGUCUGAGACUGCCAUUCUGUCUCUCAAUAAAAUUCCAAAUUUUGAUUUAUCUAAUUUGGUGAAUCAUAUUUAUUACACUGGUUCUGUUUAUUAUUAAUGCUGUAGUUGUUGUUGUUGUUUGUUUGCCUUGUUAUACUUACAAGUAAAGAACUGUUAUUCCUUUCCCCAUAGCUCUGACUGAAAAGCCUCUUUAAUCUU